This 390-nucleotide ribosomal RNA is filed under the name uncultured bacterium. Its description in RNAcentral is "bacterial SSU rRNA". It matches the Rfam family "Bacterial small subunit ribosomal RNA", at positions 89 to 507 of the family's 1533-position model. The record is from RNAcentral.
ACAGCAGUGGCGCACGGGUGAGUAACGCGUGGAUACCUGUCCUUUUUGGGUUCGGAAUAACUCCGGGAAACUGGAGCUAAUACCGGAUGGUUCCUACGGGGAUAAAGAUUUAUCGCCAAAAGAUGAGUCCGCGUACGAUUAGCUAGUUGGUGAGGUAAUGGCUCACCAAGGCGACGAUCGUUAGCUGGUCUGAGAGGACGAUCAGCCACACUGGGACUGAGACACGGCCCAGACUCCGUACGGGAGGCAGCAGGUGGGGAAUUAUUGGACAAUGGGGGCAACCCUGAUCCAGCCAUGCCGCGUGAGUGAUGAAGGCCUUCGGGUUGUAAAGCUCUUUUGGCGGGGACGAUGAUGACGGUACCCGCAGAAUAAGCCCCGGCUAACUUCGUG